This 406-nucleotide unclassified non-coding RNA is filed under the name Hevea brasiliensis (rubber tree). Lineage: Eukaryota; Viridiplantae; Streptophyta; Magnoliopsida; Malpighiales; Euphorbiaceae. The record is from RNAcentral.
GGGGUUUGGUGUGUGAGUGGUGGUUUAGAAAACUUACUGCUUAGAACCUGAACUCUGCAUAGCUGUGAGUCUGUGACUGUAAGAAAGGUUUGCGUCAGGGUUAUUAAAUAGAGAUGAUUUGUCAGUUUCAUGGGUUAAGGAGUUAAGGUAAAGGCCUUAUUAGUUUCAUUGCUGUAAUUCUACUACUAGAACACAAUUGAUGUUUCUGGAUUCUUAAGACUUGGUUUAUAUGGUAGCCAUGUUUCUUAGUUACUGAGGUGUGAUAUGAUAUUUUAUCCUUAAAUACUAGGAUGUCUCUUGUAAAGAUGCAUUUUGUUAAUCAUAUAAUCAUGGUGAUACUACUAACAUCUACUACUUCCUCAGCUCUGGAGGAAUGGCGUAAAAGAAAGAUGGAACGAGCCAGACU